UCACUUGUUGGUGAGGUAAUGGCUCACCAAGGCGACGACGGGUAGCCGGCCUGAGAGGGCGACCGGCCACACUGGGACUGAGACACGGCCCAGACUCCUACGGGAGGCAGCAGUGGGGAAUAUUGCACAAUGGGCGAAAGCCUGAUGCAGCGACGCCGCGUGAGGGAUGACGGCCUUCGGGUUGUAAACCUCUUUCAGCAGGGAAGAAGCGAAAGUGACGGUACCUGCAGAAGAAGCGCCGGCUAACUACGUGCCAGCAGCCGCGGUAAUACGUAGGGCGCAAGCGUUGUCCGGAAUUAUUGGGCGUAAAGAGCUCGUAGGCGGCUUGUCGCGUCGGUUGUGAAAGCCCGGGGCUUAACCCCGGGUCUGCAGUCGAUACGGGCAGGCUAGAGUUCGGUAGGGGAGAUCGGAAUUCCUGGUGUAGCGGUGAAAUGCGCAGAUAUCAGGAGGAACACCGGUGGCGAAGGCGGAUCUCUGGGCCGAUACUGACGCUGAUGAGCGAAAGCGUGGGGAGCGAACA
Molecule: ribosomal RNA, 520 nt
Filed under: uncultured Actinomycetes bacterium
Lineage: Bacteria; Bacillati; Actinomycetota; Actinomycetes
Description: bacterial SSU rRNA
Rfam family: Bacterial small subunit ribosomal RNA
Source: RNAcentral